This 448-nucleotide ribosomal RNA is filed under the name uncultured bacterium. RNAcentral describes it as "partial 16S ribosomal RNA". It matches the Rfam family "Bacterial small subunit ribosomal RNA", at positions 329 to 797 of the family's 1533-position model. The record is from RNAcentral.
ACCCAGACUCCUACGGGAGGCAGCAGUGGGGAAUAUUGCACAAUGGGGGAAACCCUGAUGCAGCGACGCCGCGUGAGCGAUGAGGUAUUUCGGUAUGUAAAGCUCUCUCAGCAGGGAAGAAAAUGACGGUACCUGACUAAGAAGCCCCGGCUAACUACGUGCCAGCAGCCGCGGUAAUACGUAGGGGGCAAGCGUUAUCCGGAUUUACUGGGUGUAAAGGGAGCGUAGACGGCAGUGCAAGUCCGGAGUGAAAGCCCGGGGCUCAACCCUGGGACUGCUCUGGAAACUGUAAAGCUGGAGUGCGGGAGGGGCAGGCGGAAUUCCUGGUGUAGCGGUGAAAUGCGUAGAUAUCAGGAGGAACACCGGUGGCGAAGGCGGCCUGCUGGACUGCGACUGACGUUGAGGCCCGAAAGCGUGGGGAGCAAACAGGAUUAGAUACCCGAGUACA